CUCUAUUUGAACAGAAGACGGGGAGAACUGAAAAAAAGGAGAAAGAAAAUUCUCUCAACAUCUACAAGCCGAUGUCUUAAACAAGAUCCGCAUAGUAACGAGGCCGAGCUUUGCGAUUUUUAGGUUUUUCUUGUGCCAGCCAAUAGAAUGGCCUCCACGUCCCAGUCGCUCCGUUUUCUGGGACCUGCCUCCGCCGGCCCCGGUGGCGGCAGCUUUGAUGCUCUCAAUCGCAUAAUUGCAGACCUCUGCACCCGUGGCAACCCCAAGGAAGGGACUGUUUUAGCCUUAAGAAAACAUUUGGAGGAAGAAGCUCGUGAUCUUAGUGGAGAAGCAUUUUCGCGCUUUAUGGAUCAGUUAUAUGAACGAAUUUCUAGUCUUCUGGAAAGUAACGAAGUUGCUGAAAAUUUGGGAGCUUUAAGAGCUAUUGGCGAGUUGAUAGAUGUGGCACUUGGGGAGAAUGCCUCUAAGGUCUCUAAGUUUUCUAUUUACAUGCGGAAUGUGUUUGAGGUAAAGAGGGAUCGUGAUGUAUUGACCCUUGCUAGUAGAGUUCUUGGACACUUGGCCAGGGCUGGUGGGGCAAUGACUGCAGAUGAAGUGGAAUUUCAGAUAAAAAUGGCACUUGAUUGGCUUCGCAAUGACAGAGCGGAAUACCGUCUUUUUGCUGCUGUUUCGAUCUUAAAAGAAAUGGCAGAAAAUGCUUCCACAGUAUUCAAUGUUCAUGUACCUGAAUUCGUUGAUGCUAUCUGGAUUGCACUAAGGCAUCCAACACUAGAGGUUAGAGAGAGGGCAGUGGAGGCAUUGCGUGCUUGCCUUCGAGUUAUUGAAAAGCGUGAGACACGUUGGCGUGUACAAUGGUACUACCGUAUGUUUGAGGCUACACAAGAUGGCUUGGGUAGAAAUGCUCCUGUUCACAGCAUACAUGGUUCCUUACUUGCAGUUGGAGAGCUUUUGAGGAAUACGGGUGAGUUCAUGAUGUCCAGGUACAGAGAAGUAGCUGAGAUUGUUCUCAGAUACCUAGAGCACCGUGAUCGGCUUGUUCGUCUUAGCAUAACUUCGUUGCUACCUCGCAUUGCUCAUUUCUUGCGGGAUCGAUUUGUUACAAACUAUCUAACGAUAUGCAUGAAUCAUAUUCUUGCGGUGCUUAGGCUGCCAGCUGAGCGCGGCAGUGGAUUCAUUGCCCUGGGGGAAAUGGCUGGUGCUUUGGAUGGGGAACUUGUCAACUAUUUGCCAACAAUCAUGUCUCACAUACGUGAUGCUAUUGCUCCACGCAGAGAUAGACCUUCACUGGAGGCUUUGGCCUGUGUUGGAAAUAUUGCUAAAGCCAUGGGUACUGUUAUGGAACCAUACGUACGUAAUCUUUUGGAAGUUAUGUUCUCUGCUGGUCUUUCCUCCACACUGGUUGAAGCCCUUGAGCAAAUAACUCUAAGUAUUCCAUCGUUGUUGCCAAGUAUUCAAGACCGGUUGCUUGACUCCAUUUCUUUAGUCCUUUCAAAGUAUCCUUAUUCUCAAGCAAGGCCAGCUGCUCCAAUGGCUAGAGGGAGUGCCAUGAAUGCACCUCAGAAAGUUUCAGACCUUAGUGGUUCAGCUCUAGUGCAACUUGCUUUGCAGACUCUAGCUCGUUUUAAUUUCAAGGGUCAUGAUCUGCUGGAGUUUGCGAGAGAAUCUGUUGUUGUAUAUUUGGAUGAUGAAGAUGGAGGCACACGAAAAGAUGCUGCACUCUGUUGUUGCAAGUUAAUUGCAAAUUCUUUUUCUGGCAUUACAUCAACACAGUUCAGUGCUAAUAGGUCCAAUCGAUCUGGGGGAAAACAACGGCGUCUCAUUGAGGAGCUUGUGGAAAAGCUUCUCAUUGCAGCUGUUGCAGAUGCCGAUGUGACUGUUCGCCAUUCUAUUUUUUCCUCUCUUCAUGGAAAUCGUGGUUUUGAUGAUUAUCUGGCACAGGCUAAUAGUCUGAGUGCGGUUUUUGCUGCUUUAAAUGAUGAGGAUUUUGAUGUUAGAGAGUAUGCAAUCUCUGUGGUGGGGAGAUUAUCAGAGAAAAAUCCUGCAUAUGUUCUUCCAGCACUUCGUCGUCAUCUGAUACAGUUGUUGACCUAUCUUGAUCAAAGUGCGGAUAACAAAUGCAGGGAAGAAAGUGCGAAGUUACUUGGUUGUUUAAUACGCAAUUGUGAACGACUGAUAAUUCCAUACAUUGCACCAAUACACAAGGCACUUGUGGCUAGACUUAUUGAGGGCACUGGAGUAAAUGCAAAUAAUGGCAUCAUCAGUGGGGUUCUUGUAACUGUUGGAGAUCUUGCUAGAGUGGGCGGUUUUGCUACGAGGCAAUACAUUCCGGAACUUAUGCCUUUGAUUGUUGAUGCUUUACUAGAUGGAGCAGCAGCUACAAAACGUGAAGUGGCUGUUGCAACUCUUGGUCAAGUUGUUCAGAGCACUGGGUAUGUCAUAACUCCUUAUAGUGAGUAUCCACAAUUACUUGGCUUACUCCUGAAAUUGUUGAAUGGUGAGCUAAUGUGGUCGACUAGACGUGAAGUACUAAAGGUUCUUGGCAUCAUGGGAGCUUUGGAUCCCCAUGCGCAUAAGCGAAACCAACAAAACUUGCCUGGCUCACACGGAGAAGUUGCUCAUGCCGCCAGUGACUCUGGCCAGCACAUUCCAUCAGUGGAUGACCUACCUUUGGACAUUUGGCCAUCUUUUGCUACAUCAGAAGAUUAUUAUUCCACGGUUGCUAUCAAUUCUCUCAGGCGAAUUCUUAGGGAUUCUUCACUUUCAAAUUACCACCAAAAGGUGGUAGGAUCCCUUAUGUUCAUAUUUAAGUCAAUGGGCCUUGGUUGUGUUCCAUAUUUACCAAAGGUUUUGCCUGAUCUCUUUCACACUGUCCGCACAUGUGAUGAUUAUCUUAGGGAUUUUAUAACAUGGAAGUUGGGAACUCUGGUGUCCAUAGUGCGCCAGCAUAUUCGAAAAUAUCUUCCAGAAUUGCUUUCUCUAGUAUCUGAACUAUGGUCGUCCUUUAGUUUGCCUGCAACUAAUCGUCCUGCUCGUGGAUUUCCAGUUCUGCAUCUUGUGGAACAACUUUGCUUAGCUCUCAAUGAUGAGUUCAGAACGCAUCUUCCGAUUAUUCUUCCUUGCUGUAUUCAAGUCCUAAGUGAUGCAGAAAGGUGUAAUGACUACACCUACGUUCUAGACAUACUACACACACUGGAAGUUUUUGGUGGGACAUUGGACGAGCACAUGCAUCUACUUCUUCCUGCACUCAUUCGGCUGUUUAAAGUGGAUGCUUCAGUGGAUAUAAGACGUUCUGCUAUCAAAACAUUGACAAGAUUGAUCCCUCGUGUGCAGGUCACUGGUCAUAUUUCUGCUCUUGUGCAUCACCUGAAACUGGUUUUGGAUGGGAAGAAUGAUGAGAUAAGGAAAGAUGCUGUUGAUGCACUUUGUUGUUUGGCACAUGCUCUUGGGGAGGACUUUACCAUUUUCAUCCCAUCAAUUCACAAACUCCUGUUGAAGCAUCGAUUGCGGCAUAAGGAAUUUGAAGAAAUUGAAGGACGCUUGCGGAAACGUGAACCUCUAAUCCUGGCGAACACAGCUGUACAAAGAUUGAACCGACGACUUCCAGUGGAGGUUAUUAGUGACCCUUUAAAUGAUAUGGACAAUGACCCUUAUGAAGAUGGGACUGAUUUGCAAAUACAACUUAGACAUCAGGUCAACGAUGGUCGAUUACGGACUGCUGGAGAGGCUUCUCAGCGCAGUACAAAAGAAGAUUGGGCAGAGUGGAUGAGGCAUUUCAGUAUUGAACUUCUAAAGGAGUCUCCUUCUCCAGCAUUGCGAACCUGUGCCAGGCUUGCACAGUUACAGCCUUUAGUUGGGCGGGAGUUGUUUGCUGCUGGUUUUGUUAGCUGUUGGGCACAACUGAGCGAGGGUAGUCAGAAACAAUUGGUUCGGAGUUUGGAGAUGGCUUUUUCAUCUCCAAAUAUUCCUCCUGAAAUUCUGGCAGCACUCCUUAACUUGGCAGAGUUCAUGGAGCAUGACGAGAAACCUCUUCCAAUAGACAUCCGUCUGCUUGGUGCUCUUGCAGAAAAGUGUCAUGCAUUUGCAAAGGCUCUGCAUUACAAAGAAAUGGAGUUCGUAGGUGCGCAAUCCAAGAAGACGGAUGCUAAUCCUGUUGCUGUUGUUGAAGCUCUCAUACAUAUAAAUAAUCAGUUGCACCAGCAUGAGGUCUUGUUUCAUAAAUUUAUGUUUCAAUGCUUAUAUAUUUUCAGCUUUACUUUGAUAUUUUCCCAUUUUCUUUGUUUCUGACUAUCUUUCAUUGAGUGUUUGUAGGCUGCUGUUGGAAUAUUGACCUAUGCCCAACAACAUCUUGAUGUUAAACUUAAGGAGUCAUGGUAUUGAUCCAUAUGAAGGAAAAUAAUAUCCUGAUCAAUAUAUAAAUCAUGGUCUCCUAUUUUGAAAGUAAGGAUAUGUCGCAACUAUAAUUUUCUGGUUCUUGUUUAGGUAUGAGAAAUUGCAGCGGUGGGAUGAUGCUCUUAAAGCAUACACUGCAAAAGUUGCGCAAGCAUCAAGUCCACAUCUUGUUUUGGAAGCUACACUAGGAAGGAUGCGAUGCCUUGCUGCAUUAGCUAGAUGGGAAGAGCUUAACAAUCUAUGCAAGGAUUUUUGGACGCCGGCAGAGCCAGCUGCGCGAUUGGAAAUGGCACCAAUGGCUGCUAGUGCUGCUUGGAACAUGGGAGAGUGGGAUCAAAUGGCAGAAUAUGUAUCUCGAUUAGAUGAUGGUGAUGAAACUAAACUUCGAGGUUUGGGGAAUACUGCCACUAGUGGUGAUGGAAGUAGUAGUGGCACAUUCUUCAGGGCUGUCUUAUUAGUUCGUAGAGGAAAGUAUGAUGAAGCUCGGGAGUAUGUUGAGAGAGCUAGGAAGUGUUUAGGAACAGAACUUGCUGCUUUGGUUUUGGAGAGCUAUGAGCGUGCUUACAGUAAUAUGGUCCGAGUUCAGCAACUAUCAGAAUUGGAGGAGGUAAUUGAAUAUUGGACUCUUCCUGUGGGAAAUCCUGUUGCUGAAGGACGACGUGCCCUUAUUCGAAACAUGUGGACAGAGAGAAUACAAGGAGCAAAGCGUAAUGUAGAGGUCUGGCAAGUUCUUUUGGCUGUAAGAGCACUUGUGCUUCCUCCAACAGAAGACAUUGACAAUUGGCUCAAAUUUGCUAGUCUUUGUCUGAAAAGUAAUCGGAUUAGUCAGGCUAGAUCAACUUUGGUUAAACUCUUGCAGUAUGACCCUGAGACAUGUCCUGAUAACGUACGAUACCAUGGACCUCCUCAAGUAAUUCUGGCAUACUUGAAAUACCAGUGGUCACUUGGAGAAGAUCACAAGAGAAAAGAAGCAUUUGCUAGGCUUCAGAAUUUGGCCAAAGAAAUUUCAAGUUCCCCAAAUAUUCAUUCAGUUGCACCAGCUGGUUUAUUGAGCAGUCCAAGUUCAAAUGUCCCCCUUCUUGCUCGUGUAUAUCUUGAACUUGGAAGCUGGCAGUGGGCACUAAGUCCCGGAUUGGAUGAUGACUCCAUACAAGAAAUCCUUGCUGCAUUCAGGAAUGCCACGCAAUGCGCAACAAAAUGGGCGAAAGCAUGGCACACUUGGGCUUUGUUCAAUACAGCAGUCAUGUCUCAUUAUACCAUGAGGGGGUUUCCUAAUGUUGUCUCACAGUUCGUUGUUGCAGCUGUUACUGGAUAUUUUCAUUCAAUAGCUUGUGCAGCAAAUGCGAAAGGGGUGGAUGAUAGCUUACAGGAUAUACUUCGUCUCCUUACCUUAUGGUUCAACCAUGGAGCUACUGCAGAAGUUCAAAUGGCACUGCAAAAUGGAUUUGCACAUGUUAAUAUCAACACAUGGCUGGUUGUUUUACCUCAAAUAAUUGCCAGGAUUCAUUCAAAUAAUCAUGCUGUGAGGGAACUAAUACAAUCACUUUUGGUGCGAAUUGGGCAAAGUCAUCCCCAGGCUCUUAUGUAUCCGCUUCUUGUGGCAUGUAAAUCUAUAAGCAAUUUACGUAGAGCAGCAGCUCAAGAAGUGGUAGACAAAGUUCGGCAGCAUAGUGGUGUGCUGGUGGAUCAGGCACAACUUGUGUCAAAGGAACUAAUCAGGGUAGCAAUUCUUUGGCAUGAAAUGUGGCAUGAAGGAUUGGAAGAAGCCAGUCGUUUGUAUUUUGGUGAACAUAACAUUGAGGGCAUGCUGAAAGUGUUGGAACCUUUGCAUGAAAUGCUAGAGGAAGGUGCUAUGAGGGAGAAUACCACCGUAAAGGAGAGAGCGUUCAUUGAGGCAUAUCGCCAUGAAUUGUUGGAGGCCUGGGAAUGUUGUAUGAAGUACAGGAGAACUAUAAAAGAGGCUGAGCUUACCCAGGCAUGGGAUCUAUAUUAUCAUGUUUUCAGACGGAUAGACAAGCAGCUUCAAAGCCUUACAACCCUGGAUCUGCAGUCUGUUUCUCCGGAGCUGUUAGAAUGCCGGAAUUUGGAGCUUGCUGUUCCUGGCACAUAUCUUGCUGAUUCACCAGUAGUGACAAUCGCAUCAUUUGCACGCCAACUUGUUGUAAUAACAUCAAAACAGCGACCCCGAAAAUUGACAAUUCAUGGGAGUGAUGGUGAAGAUUAUGCCUUCUUGCUGAAGGGACAUGAAGAUCUGCGCCAAGAUGAGCGUGUUAUGCAGCUUUUUGGUUUGGUAAAUACACUUUUGGAGAAUUCAAGAAAAACAUCGGAGAAGGAUCUAUCUAUUCAGCGAUAUGCUGUCAUUCCAUUAUCUCCGAACAGUGGGUUAAUUGGAUGGGUUCCAAAUUGCGACACCCUACACCAGCUCAUUCGAGAAUACAGGGAUGCUAGAAAGAUUACUUUGAAUCAAGAGCACAAAUAUAUGCUCAGUUUUGCUCCAGAUUAUGAUCAUUUACCACUUAUAGCUAAGGUGGAAGUUUUUGACUUUGCUUUGCAAAAUACUGAAGGAAAUGACCUAGCAAGGGUUCUUUGGUUAAAAAGUCGCACUUCUGAGGUAUGGUUGGAGAGGAGAACAAAUUACACAAGAAGUUUAGCAGUCAUGAGCAUGGUUGGUUACCUUCUUGGCUUAGGUGAUCGACACCCAAGCAACCUUAUGCUGCACCGCUAUAGUGGGAAGAUCUUGCACAUUGAUUUUGGAGACUGCUUUGAAGCUUCAAUGAACCGGGAGAAAUUCCCUGAGAAGGUUCCAUUCCGCUUGACAAGAAUGCUUGUAAAGGCUAUGGAAGUUAGUGGUAUAGAGGGCAACUUUCGCUCCACUUGUGAAAAUGUGAUGCAAGUUCUUCGGACGAACAAGGAUAGUGUGAUGGCAAUGAUGGAGGCAUUUGUUCAUGAUCCCCUCAUCAACUGGCGUCUUUUCAACUUCAAUGAAGUCCCUCAAAUGUCAAUGUUUGGGAAUACUCAUACUUCUGCUGUUGUAAAUGCUGAGGAAUCUGCUCCUAGUAGAGAGCUUCCUCAACCUCAACGAAGUGCUCGUGAGAGAGAACUUCUUCAGGCUGUUAAUCUGCUUGGUGAUGCUAAUGAGGUUUUGAACGAGCGUGCUGUGGUUGUCAUGGCUCGGAUGAGUAACAAACUGACUGGACGUGAUUUUUCCCCAUCAUCUUCAGUUUCUUCCUUGUCUAUCCAACAUGCAGUAGACCAUAGCUCCUUAAUUUUAGGAGAUAGUCGGGAAGUAGAUCAUGGCUUAUCUGUUAAAUUGCAAGUUCAGAAGCUGAUUAUCCAAGCCACUUCACAAGAAAAUUUGUGCCAAAAUUAUGUUGGGUGGUGCCCCUUCUGGUGAACAGAAAAUCACAAUGUGUAUAAUGUGCAUAGCUGAUUGAUGCUGGGACCUUGAGGAGAAGUCCUGGUUAGCCUUCUCGUUCAUUAUUGUUGUACAUGAAAGCAUAAUUCGUAAAAGUUGCAUGUACAAUCGAAAUAGAAAGUCUAAAUGUAUGUUCUGUAGCUAUUAAGUUCUCCCUCGACCCCUUUGUGGCUAGCCCCAUUUUUCCUUUCAAUUUGUGUGUGAAAUAGAGGGGGAGAUGUGCACAUUUAGUUUUUAAUUAUUCAACCAAUCAAGCUUUCAUCUCAUGUAGUUGCAAGAGAGAUGUGUUUGUCUUUUUGGAAUUGGCUCUAGUAAUAAUUAUAAGGAGGCGAUUGUCAAAACAAACUUUCCUUCUCCAUAUGGCCUAGGCUUUAAAGCUAUAUAUAUAUAUAUGAGGGGGAAAAACG
This 8211-nucleotide unclassified non-coding RNA is filed under the name Hevea brasiliensis (rubber tree). Lineage: Eukaryota; Viridiplantae; Streptophyta; Magnoliopsida; Malpighiales; Euphorbiaceae. The record is from RNAcentral.